Long non-coding RNA from Branchiostoma floridae (Florida lancelet), 782 nucleotides. RefSeq lists it as uncharacterized. Lineage: Eukaryota; Metazoa; Chordata; Leptocardii; Amphioxiformes; Branchiostomatidae. The record is from RefSeq and is a predicted model, not a curated record. The transcript has 2 exons.
CCCACAUCGGCUGAAGCUACACCAUGAAGCUGUUUGUCUGCAUGAUGCUGGCGACGAUGAUUGUCAUGGCAACGCUGAUCGACGACUCCGAGGGAUGGAGGCGUCGGCGCAGGCGCAGGAGGUCGAGCGGGUCGAGCGGUGGAUGUCUGACCUUGGAUGCAGAUGCUGACUCAGAGUUGAGGGAGGUUGUGGAAGAGGCGAGGUCGCUCCUGGAGGAACUUGAUGAGGCCAGUGAACACUUGGAUACUAAACAAGUGGAGAACACACUCGCGGAUCAGGAAGAAGGUCGAACGAGAAGGAGUCUCCAGUAAGAAAUUGUAUAAAAUUGAAACUGAUUUAGAACCAAAGGACGAUUAGUCGGCAAUUUAUUUUCUCGGAUGGAAUAUCUUUUGUCUCGUAUGACUCAUGUAACAAGAAAUGUUAUUCAAAUCAAAGAGAAUGCCACUUGAAAUGGUAAAGCAGCUUUGCGUCUAAUAUUGGAUAUGAUCUGUUGACUUACAAAUCACUCGGAAAAAGUGAAGAGAGAGACUCUCGAUCGAGGAAUUUAGUCAAGUUAAAACUGGUUUAGAAGUUCAUAAGACGAUUUGAUUUUUCCUGGAUUGAAUUAGUUUUGUCUCUUAUUUUCUCUCUCCUUUUACACAACAUGCAAUGUUCGUCAUCUCAAUUCAAAGGCAAUGUCACUAAUAAUGAAGUGAAUCUGUUUAAACAGUAAUUUAUAGUGAAAUAUUGCGUUUUCAUUUUUGUGAUCUUGCUGGUUCAAUAAAACAUUGACAAACUUGCGA